Molecule: ribosomal RNA, 492 nt
Filed under: uncultured bacterium
Lineage: Bacteria
Description: partial 16S ribosomal RNA
Rfam family: Bacterial small subunit ribosomal RNA
Source: RNAcentral
AGUGAACGCUGGCGGUAGGCCUAACACAUGCAAGUCGAACGGCAGCACAGUAAGAGCUUGCUCUUACGGGUGGCGAGUGGCGGACGGGUGAGGAAUACAUCGGAAUCUACUUUUUCGUGGGGGAUAACGUAGGGAAACUUACGCUAAUACCGCAUACGACCUACGGGUGAAAGCAGGGGAUCUUCGGACCUUGCGCGAUUGAAUGAGCCGAUGUCGGAUUAGCUAGUUGGCGGGGUAAAGGCCCACCAAGGCGACGAUCCGUAGCUGGUCUGAGAGGAUGAGCAGACACGCGCGAACUGAGAGACGGUCCAGGAUCGCACGGGAGGCAGCAACGGGGUAGAAGAGGCAGAGGGUGGAGGCCUGAUGCAGCCAUAGAGCGAAGGUGAAGAAGGCGUUCGCGUCCCAGAGGACGUUAGGUAAGAAAGAAAAGCAGCAGGUUAGAACCCCGGUGUGCCGGCGGUACCAAAAGAAUAAACACCGGCUAACUUCGUG